This is a long non-coding RNA of Arabidopsis thaliana (thale cress), 202 nucleotides long. RefSeq annotates it as other RNA. NCBI's taxonomy places the organism in Eukaryota, Viridiplantae, Streptophyta, Magnoliopsida, Brassicales, Brassicaceae. The record is from RefSeq. The transcript has a single exon.
AAGCCUCGAAUUUACUAAUUGUAGCACAUGACAUUGAUAGUUAAAUUCUCCUAACAUUCCUAUUAUACCCACACCAUCACCCAAAAAUAACAAAAUCACCGAACUACACAAACCCGAAUUGCAAGGUCCCAAAAUAACCAAAAUCCAAUCCUCUAGCUCUGCUGCGCCCUAAUCCCCCAAUUAACCUCACCGGCUAUAACCG